RNAcentral lists this ribosomal RNA (1287 nucleotides) under metagenome. Its description in RNAcentral is "bacterial SSU rRNA". It matches the Rfam family "Bacterial small subunit ribosomal RNA", at positions 242 to 1520 of the family's 1533-position model. The record is from RNAcentral.
UAGCUAGUUGGUGAGGUAAAGGCUUACCAAGGCGACGAUCUGUAGCGGGUCUGAGAGGAUGAUCCGCCACACUGGAACUGAGACACGGUCCAGACUCCUACGGGAGGCAGCAGUGGGGAAUUUUGGACAAUGGGGGCAACCCUGAUCCAGCCAUGCCGCGUGAGUGAAGGAGGCCUUCGGGUUGUAAAGCUCUUUCGGCCGGGAAGAAAUCGCAUGGGCCAAUACCCUGUGUGGAUGACGGUACCGGAAUAAGAAGCACCGGCUAACUACGUGCCAGCAGCCGCGGUAAUACGUAGGGUGCGAGCGUUAAUCGGAAUUACUGGGCGUAAAGCGUGCGCAGGCGGUUUUGUAAGACAGGCGUGAAAUCCCCGGGCUUAACCUGGGAACUGCGUUUGUGACUGCAAGGCUAGAGUACGGCAGAGGGGGGUGGAAUUCCACGUGUAGCAGUGAAAUGCGUAGAGAUGUGGAGGAACACCAAUGGCGAAGGCAGCCCCCUGGGUCGAUACUGACGCUCAUGCACGAAAGCGUGGGUAGCAAACAGGAUUAGAUACCCUGGUAGUCCACGCCCUAAACUAUGUCAACUAGGUGUUGGGUGGGUAAAACCAUUUAGUACCGUAGCUAACGCGUGAAGUUGACCGCCUGGGGAGUACGGCCGCAAGGUUAAAACUCAAAGGAAUUGACGGGGACCCGCACAAGCGGUGGAUGAUGUGGAUUAAUUCGAUGCAACGCGAAAAACCUUACCUACCCUUGACAUGCAAGGAACUUGCCAGAGAUGGCUUGGUGCCCGAAAGGGAGCCUGGACACAGGUGCUGCAUGGCUGUCGUCAGCUCGUGUCGUGAGAUGUUGGGUUAAGUCCCGCAACGAGCGCAACCCUUGUCGUUAAUUGCCAUCAUUUGGUUGGGCACUUUAACGAGACUGCCGGUGACAAACCGGAGGAAGGUGGGGAUGACGUCAAGUCCUCAUGGCCCUUAUGGGUAGGGCUUCACACGUCAUACAAUGGUCGGUACAAAGGGUUGCCAAGCCGCGAGGCGGAGCCAAUCCCAGAAAGCCGAUCGUAGUCCGGAUUGCAGGCUGCAACUCGCCUGCAUGAAGUCGGAAUCGCUAGUAAUCGUGGAUCAGCAUGUCACGGUGAAUACGUUCCCGGGUCUUGUACACACCGCCCGUCACACCAUGGGAGCGGGUUCCGCCAGAAGUGGGUAGCCUAACCGCAAGGAGGGCGCUUACCACGGCGGGGUUCGUGACUGGGGUGAAGUCGGAACAAGGUAGCCGUAGGGGAACCUGCGGCUG